CCUACGGGGGGCUGCAGUGGGGAAUCUUGCGCAAUGGGCGAAAGCCUGACGCAGCGACGCCGCGUGAGUGAUGAAGGCCUUCGGGUUGUAAAGCUCUGUGGGGAGAGAAGAAUUAGUGUGGGCUAAUCACCACAUGAUGACGGUAUCUCCUUAGCAAGCACCGGCUAACUCUGUGCCAGCAGCCGCGGUAAGACAGAGGGUGCAAACGUUGUUCGGAAUUACUGGGCGUAAAGCGAGUGUAGGCGGUCUUGUAAGUCGGAUGUGAAAGCCCCGGGCUCAACCCGGGAAGUGCACUCGAUACUGCAAGACUUGAGUACCGGAGAGGUUGGUGGAAUUCCCGGUGUAGAGGUGAAAUUCGUAGAUAUCGAGAGGAACACCGGUGGCGAAGGCGGCCAACUGGACGAGUACUGACGCUGAGACUCGAAAGCGUGGGGAGCAAACAGGAUUAGAUACCCCAGUAGUC
This 463-nucleotide ribosomal RNA is filed under the name uncultured Myxococcales bacterium. RNAcentral's name for it is "bacterial SSU rRNA". It matches the Rfam family "Bacterial small subunit ribosomal RNA", at positions 338 to 795 of the family's 1533-position model. Lineage: Bacteria; Pseudomonadati; Myxococcota; Myxococcia; Myxococcales. The record is from RNAcentral.